UACAGAGGGGCAAGCGUUGUUCGGAAUUACUGGGCGUAAAGGGCGCGUAGGCGGCCUGCUAAGUCGAACGUGAAAUCCCUGGGCUCAACCCAGGAACUGCGUCCGAUACUGGUUGGCUUGAAUCCGGGAGAGGGAUGUGGAAUUCCUGGUGUAGCGGUGAAAUGCGUAGAUAUCAGGAGGAAUACCGGUGGUGCAGACGGCUCUCUGGACCGCAACUGACGCUGAGACACGAAAGCGUGGGUAGCAAACAGG
This 252-nucleotide ribosomal RNA is filed under the name uncultured bacterium. RNAcentral describes it as "partial 16S ribosomal RNA". It matches the Rfam family "Bacterial small subunit ribosomal RNA", at positions 524 to 776 of the family's 1533-position model. The record is from RNAcentral.